UUCGCGAAAGCGUUGCUAAUACCAGAUAUUGUUUCAUUAACUUAGGUUUUUGUAAUGAAAGGUGACCUCUUCAUGAAAGUUGCCGUUCGGGGAUGGGCUCGCGUACCAUUAGCUAGUUGGUGGGGUAAUGGCCUACCAAGGCUACGAUGGUUAGCUGGUCUGAGAGGAUGAUCAGCCACACUGGAACUGAAACACGGUCCAGACUCCUACGGGAGGCAGCAGUGAGGAAUUUUGCGCAAUGGGGGAAACCCUGACGCAGCAACGCCGCGUGAGUGAAGAAGGCUUUCGGGUCGUAAAGCUCUGUCAGAUAGGAAAAAAGUUCAUUAGUUAAUAGCUACUGAAUCUGAUGGUACUAUCAGAGGAAGCACCGGCUAACUCCGUGCCAGCAGCCGCGGUAAUACGGAGGGUGCAAGCGUUGUUCGGAAUUAUUGGGCGUAAAGAGCGUGUAGGCGGGAUAGUUAGUCAGAUGUGAAAGCCCUGGGCUUAACCCAGGAAGUGCAUUUGAUACUGCUAUUCUUGAGUAUGGGAGAGGAGAGUAGAAUUCCCAGUGUAGAGGUGAAAUUCGUAGAUAUUGGGAGGAAUACCCGUGGCGAAGGCGACUCUCUGGACCAAUACUGACGCUGAGACGCGAAAGCGUGGGGAGCAAACAGGAUUAGAUACCCUGGUAGUCCACGCCGUAAACGAUGAGAACUAGGUGUAGCGGGUAUUGACCCCUGCUGUGCCGAAGUUAACGCAUUAAGUUCUCCGCCUGGGGAGUACGGCCGCAAGGCUAAAACUCAAAGGAAUUGACGGGGACCCGCACAAGCGGUGGAGCAUGUGGUUUAAUUCGACGCAACGCGAAGAACCUUACCUGGAUUUGACAUCCUCUGACCUCCAUGGAAACAUGGCUUUUUAUGCUUGCAUAAACAGAGUGACAGGUGCUGCAUGGCUGUCGUCAGCUCGUGUCGUGAGAUGUUGGGUUAAGUCCCGCAACGAGCGCAACCCUUGUUUUUAGUUGCCAUUAUUAAGUUAGGCACUCUAGAAAUACUGCCUCGGUUAACGGGGAGGAAGGUGGGGAUGACGUCAAGUCCUCAUGGCCUUUAUAUCCAGCCUACACACGUGCUACAAUGGACUGUACAAAGAGUUGCCACUUCGCGAGAAGGAGCUAAUUUCAAAAAGCAGUUCUCAGUUCGGAUUGGAGUCUGCAACUCGACUCCAUGAAGUUGGAAUCGCUAGUAAUCGUGGAUCAGCAUGCCACGGUGAAUACGUUCCCGGGUCUUGUACACACCGCCCGUCACACCACGAAAGUCGGCUGUACCAGAAGUUGCUGGGCUAACCCUUCGGGGAUGCAGGUACCUAAGGUACGGUCGGUAAUUGGGGUGAAGUU
RNAcentral lists this ribosomal RNA (1366 nucleotides) under metagenome. RNAcentral's name for it is "bacterial SSU rRNA". It matches the Rfam family "Bacterial small subunit ribosomal RNA", at positions 148 to 1487 of the family's 1533-position model. The record is from RNAcentral.